Parelaphostrongylus tenuis is the source of this 73-nucleotide non-coding RNA. The record is from the annotation of a GenBank genome assembly. NCBI's taxonomy places the organism in Eukaryota, Metazoa, Nematoda, Chromadorea, Rhabditida, Metastrongylidae.
GCCUCGGUGGUGAAGUGGUAGAGCAUGCGUCCCCGGGUAGGAUGAAUUGUGGGUUCGAUUCUCGCCUGAGGCC